AGUAAGAGGAAAAUCCGUCGACUUUCAAGAUCGUGAGGGUUCAAAUCCCUC
Molecule: transfer RNA, 51 nt
Filed under: Elegia cuspidata
Lineage: Eukaryota; Viridiplantae; Streptophyta; Magnoliopsida; Poales; Restionaceae
Also listed under: 62 other names
Description: partial tRNA-Leu
Source: RNAcentral